This 445-nucleotide ribosomal RNA is filed under the name uncultured bacterium. RNAcentral's name for it is "bacterial SSU rRNA". It matches the Rfam family "Bacterial small subunit ribosomal RNA", at positions 330 to 792 of the family's 1533-position model. The record is from RNAcentral.
UCCAGACUCCUACGGGAGGCAGCAGUGGGGAAUAUUGCACAAUGGGGGAAACCCUGAUGCAGCGACGCCGCGUGAGUGAAGAAGUAUUUCGGUAUGUAAAGCUCUAUCAGCAGGAAAGAAAAUGACGGUACCUGACUAAGAAGCCCCGGCUAACUACGUGCCAGCAGCCGCGGUAAUACGUAGGGGGCAAGCGUUAUCCGGAUUUACUGGGUGUAAAGGGAGCGUAGACGGUGAAGCAAGUCUGAAGUGAAAGGCGGGGGCUCAACCCCCGGACUGCUUUGGAAACUGUUUGACUGGAGUGCAGGAGAGGUAAGUGGAAUUCCUAGUGUAGCGGUGAAAUGCAUAGAUAUCGCGCAGAACUCCGAUUGCGAAGACAGCGUACCGGCGCCGGACUGACGCUGAGGCACGAAAGCGUGGGUAUCGAACAGGAUUAGAUACCCCCGUA